Molecule: long non-coding RNA, 3136 nt
Filed under: Canis lupus familiaris (dog)
Lineage: Eukaryota; Metazoa; Chordata; Mammalia; Carnivora; Canidae
Description: lncRNA (ENSCAFG00000053212.1)
Source: RNAcentral
CAUAGGAAAAAAAAAAAAAAAAAAGGAGAGUUUCUUAUAAGGUGGAAUUUACAAAAGGGAAAAUACAAAGGAAAAAAGAUCUUACCCCAACCUAAGUAUCAAUUCAGAAGUUCAGAUAGUAGCGAUAAUAGAAAAAAAGGGACUCCAACAUUGGGAUUACUAUCUGAAACCUGUAGCAAGUGCUUUCUGUGGAACUAUCCUAUUACGCUAACAGAGACAGCUUGCUCCGAAUGAACAGUAGUAGGUUGGUGCAGUUCUCAUAACAAACAGCAGAACUUAAUGAUGACACAAUCCAUUAUUUCCAGCUGUGUGCAUAGCUUGCAUUUUUUAAAUAUGAAAAUGCAAGCGAAAGCAGCUCUAGCAAAGAAAGUAUGCUCAAGGACCAAAGAUUUAACAGAUAAAAAUACCCAAGUAGAAGAGAUAUAGUAGAAUAUAUAAAGAGUUAACUAUAUUUGUUACACACCAAUAAACAUCAAAGUGCCUGUUGCCUUCUGAAAAUUUGAAGUGGAAAAAUUUUAUGAUUUAAUGAUUAUUUUAUCAGGGACUCAAGAAGAAAAUAAAACAACGUAUAAGCUUGUGAAUGGUGGAAGAAAUGCCCUAUUUUUUCUUGGCAAAUACUUGUAUAAAGUUAACAUUGUUGGUGUGAUAUUAUCAUAGGUACAUGUGUAUGUGUGUGUACAUUAUGUGUAUAUAUAUACGUAUUUGAGAUAUGUAUAUAUACACACAAUACAUUGACUAAGGUCUAGAAUAAUGUAGCAAAUAGAAAAUGUUUAAAUACUGUGUGCUUUUAUGUUUUCAACAGGAUGACAUGAGACGUGGGCAUAUUGCAGUGAUGAGUUAAAACCCACAUCUAAAAAAUUAAAACCAAUGAAGGAGGAAAACAAGUAAUAUAUUUGUUAGGAAGAGCAGAGAUUAUACAUUUUUAGUGAUUUUUUUUCUUUUUUUUUUUUUUUUUGUGAGCCAUAGAAUUCUACAAAUGGGAGAAUAUUUGUUUGGCAGAGCACUCUUUUUGUACUGAACUGCCAUUUUGACAGUAGGAACCCUUUUAUUUUGUGUUAUAUUUGCAUGCCUCCAUGGUGUACAAUCCAGUGGAUCAUGGAUCAGCGAUAGUUCAUUUAAAUCCCUAACUGCUAAUAAAAUUUCUGGUGAUCUGAACACUACUUAUUAAUAUUUAAAUGAAUUUUUUAAUGAAUGCAUUCUGCAUUCCAGGACCACUAGAAUUUAGUAAAUGUGAAAUGACCCUUUUUAAAGAGUAUUUGCACAAUUGCUUAAAAUUUAUAUAUGAGAUAUAUAUUAUAUAUAAAAUUUUAUAAAUUCACGUCGAUAUGAAACACCUUUGAUCUGAUUGUCACACUGCAUUUAAAUAUUUAGUACUGUACUUUAAAUUCAGUCACUUUGCAUUGGAUCAGAUCCAACUUUAUCAUCUCUUUACCAAGAGACCAGUUAAACCUUUGUGAAAUGAACUGGCAUUAUCAUUUCAGUUCAGUGACAGCUAAUCCUAAAACCAUUCCUUCUCCCAGCUUUUUAUUCCUUUGGACACUGGUCUCUGAAAAUGCAUUUGUUAAAAACAAAACUAACACAUGCAAACCUUUCCUUUGUAUUGUGAAACAGCCACAUAAUUCCUACCAGCUCUAGUGGAUGACUGCUUACUGUGACAGUUCCUCUGAAGAACCUACCAGAUUUCUGUCAUCAAGUUCAAGAGGGAUUGGGGAAGAAAAUAGCAUCAUCCUAUUGGCAGUGUCAUUUGUUUGCUAUUGGGGCAUCACUCAGAUGCUCAGUUGUAGGCUAAUCCAUCUGAAACUACCUUUUGCACACCUUUCUUUGAAGCCUUAACAGGAACUUGAUGGGUUUGCUGUAGCAGCUUCCCUGUGAAUUCUCUCUGAGCUGUCACAGCUACUGCACUGCCACUCACUGUUUCCUAGGGAACUCUUUCUUCUCCCACGUUGGCUCAUUCUCCCUCACUCCAGCCCUGGGUUUGAAAAUGAAUUGUGAAUUUCCAGGCAAUAUUAUUCCAUUUUCAGAUUAAGCCUGAUACUUAACUGUCCAGAAGCCAGAGCUCUGCCUGCUUGCUUACCUGUUUGGAGUUUUCUAAGAGAAAACUAAGGGAACACUUGGGAACAUAGACGCAGACAGUGAUCUGCCUUCUUCCUUCUCAUCCUAACUAUUGACAAGUGAGUUGUCCAUUAUAUUACAAAGAAUUUGGAGAACGCUGGCUCUGCCACAGCAAAAAUCUGCUGUUAAUUGAUAACACGAAUUUUUGUUUGGAGGAGCCUUAUUUGAAAAUAUACUCUUCACUUAUUUUCUGAAAUGUUUAUGUUCUUUUCUUAUUCCAACUUUGGUCGCAUAGUUGGAAUCGCCAACACCUGGCAUUCAGAUAGAACAGGCUAUGCUCAAGACAACCUUCAGCCGUUGCUUUAAAACUUCUAUAAUUUAUUUCUUUUUUGUAUGUACUAUAGUCUUGUGCAUAUGUAGUUGAACAGACAGUGGAAUAUGUGUCUCUCUUUGUGGAUGUGUAACCUAAAAGUCUGAAUGUCUGGAGAGAGAGAGCCGUGUGUAUAGGUCAGAGAAAAAGAACAGCUCUCAACUCCUGAUCGGUGCCUGUGAUUUGCUUGCUUUUGUGCUUAUCUGGCCUAGUGUGCUGUUAACUUUAAAACAGGAAGAAGUUUUAUCUUCUGGAGGCUCUUCUCACCUGUCCAGUUUGGCAUGUCAGAGAACAUUUGACCUGUGACCGUGCCCUUCUAAAAAGUUGAUUUUCAGUAAAUCCGAUUGUCUCAAGAAGUCCUACAGUGAGAUGGACUUUUCCCUUCCUGAAGUAUCUGCUCACUUUAGUAGUGGGUGGACUAUUUUAACGGGGCUCCAAACAAUGCAAGGAUGGAAGAAUAUUUGUAAGCCAAGCCAUGGAAGAAACACAAAGAAAAGUGAACACCGUUUCUGCCACCCCUUUCUGUUAGCUUAUCGUCGGCUGCUUUACUGUGCAUAAAGUUGUUUUCAAUGCAGUGCUUGUCAAAUAAAUAUCGUGAACUAUUUUGUGAAUGAAAUGUAUUAUGUUGAAAGCUGUCAGCAGUUCAAAAAUAAGCUUUCUUUUUUGUUUGAAGACAAAGUGUAUUAGAUGAAACUGAAAAGUAAAAAAAAAAAA